RNAcentral lists this long non-coding RNA (282 nucleotides) under Gossypium barbadense (sea-island cotton). Its description in RNAcentral is "long non-coding RNA (GBAR_LNC001627)". The record is from RNAcentral. Lineage: Eukaryota; Viridiplantae; Streptophyta; Magnoliopsida; Malvales; Malvaceae.
CAGCACUAUAUGAAGUUUCGUAUGAUUGUGAAUGUAAAACUGCACAAUAUUUGAUUGAAUGUAGCGAGAAAAGGAAUAUGUGGAAUUGUUUUGAUUCGUGAAACUGCAGAAGAGUGGAAGAGAUUGAAAUAGAUUGAAAGCAGCUUUGACAGAUGGAAAUUAUGUAUAUCAAGUAUUCUGCUAGUGAUAAGGUAUUUCUUAAGUUGCAUGUUGGAAGAAAAUCUGAGAUUUGAUUAAAAAGGUGGAAUUGAGUUCUCGUUUUGUUUGGGUAUCUGAGAUUAU